UCUUGUAGUAAUGGCGAAUGAACAAGGAAAAGCUCAGCAUGAAAAUUGGGGCAUGUGGUCUUGAAUUGUGUUUGACAGAUGUACUGCCAAUGGAAGCACAGAUGUAAGCCAUUUGGAAAAAUGCAUUACUGAUGGUGAGAGUCCUGUGUGUCAUUUGUAGUUUUCCGUGCACGGUGUGCUUUCUAAGAUUCACGUUCCUUGGGAUUGGAACGCAAAGUGGGUGGUAGAUUUCAUUCAAAGCUGAACAGUGGAUUGAGACCGAUAGUAAACAAGUACCAUGAGGGAAAAGUUAAAAGGACUUUGAAAAGAAAGUUAAAAAGUGUCUGAAAUUGCUGAAAGGGAAGCAGAUGUAACCAAAUUAAACUUUGCAAGAUUGUCAUGUACAAAUGUGAGCUCUUGUUGCAUCAGUGUAAGUGUGGCAGCUUGCCUAAAUCNGAUUGUGCAUGGUGAUUCUUGCAUUGUGUGUCAACAUCAUUUUGCAACCCAGGAACACAUGGAAGACAUGAAAAUUUGCUCGCGGGUGAAUAAAUGUUUUUUCUAGACAUCAAUUGUGGAUUGUCAUAUUGCGUGGAUGGUUGGCUGGUUGUACGUGUGCAUUCAACAAACAUUAUGUAUGAUUGCUUGACUCAAUUGACCUUGGUUUGACACAACUACAUCGACAAACUGGUUUCAUUUGACCCGUCUUGAAACACGGACCAAGGAGUCUAACACAUGUGCAAAUCAUUGGGUGGACAAUCCUGUUUGUGCAAUAAAAGUGAUUGCUGUUAUAUUUGCAACAGCAACUAACCAAUUGAUUGUGAGAGGUUUGAGUAUCAGCAUAUAUGUUAAGACCCGAAAGAUGGUGAACUAUGCCUGAGAAGGGUAAAUUCAGGGGAAACUCUGAUGGAAGCUCGUAGCGAUACUGACGUGCAAAUCGUUCGUCAUA
This 925-nucleotide ribosomal RNA is filed under the name Carinadinium acanthium. RNAcentral describes it as "partial large subunit ribosomal RNA". It matches the Rfam family "Eukaryotic large subunit ribosomal RNA", at positions 76 to 909 of the family's 3401-position model. Lineage: Eukaryota; Dinophyceae; Gonyaulacales. The record is from RNAcentral.